UUUGUUCCUGAAAGGGAAUAAGAGGCUCUCCACUUAGGGUUGCAAACACAAUACAAGAGGACCCAAGCCCCCUUUAUGGUUAUUACAAUAGAUGUGUGCUCACUGAGCUGCCAGCUAUUAAAUAAACGUAGGACUGGGCAUUAAUAUCAGAAAGCAAGAAGUGGUACCUCCUGCCAUUGGGUGCCUGACACAGAUGAGGUGGGUUCUGUUGUUGUUCUUGCUAUUCUUGUUGUUCAAUGUUUUUUGAAAUUUAAUUUAAAGACAAAGUGAUUUUAAUCUCUCCAAGCUGUGCAGGAUAGUGCUAUAGAAUUCAUUACAUCCAUUAUGCUCAUGCAAACGUUGAUGGUACACAAUCUUAGCAACACCCUAAUUUAUGCUGUUGUUUUGUUACUAUUCAGUGCAUAACAGGAUCUGUGGAGCCUGAUUCCAGGUGAGAGAGCCAGAAUACAGGUCAGCUCCUGCACAGCGCGCUUCCUAUUCUAGAGGGCCUCUCCACUCUGCCUCUGGAAGCCGUGUGGUGCGGGUGCUCCAGACCGCCGGGGAAAGACAAGGGGUGGCUUCCCAGAGGGACAGCUUUCCUGGAGGGUUCCUAUCCUACCUGAGAGUCUUCCCUGCAACUCGCAGCUUUCCACGUGCACCCUACCGUUACCUUUCCUUCCGACCUUCUGUCCUUCCAAGGCCCUGCAGCUGGAUAGUCUCAUACCUUGGACUCUUCUAAACUAGCUGCUUGCCUUGUUGAAUUACCCAGGGGAAAUGUGGUUCCAGAGACAAA
This is a long non-coding RNA of Phodopus roborovskii (desert hamster), 772 nucleotides long. RefSeq lists it as uncharacterized. Lineage: Eukaryota; Metazoa; Chordata; Mammalia; Rodentia; Cricetidae. The transcript has 2 exons. The record is from RefSeq and is a predicted model, not a curated record.